AUUAGAUAAAAGAAAUUCACUCCUACUCACUUCUAAUCAUAUAUACCUAUUUGUUAAGAAAUCCUGAUGUUCUGAGAUUUCAUUUUCAUUGAGUUUAUUGGAAAGAAAAAGUAAUGGACUGGGACUAGAAGAUUCUUCUAAAUUCAAGACGUUCAUAAGAAGGAGUUGGUUGCCUAUUAUAGGGAUUUACAGGAACUUUCACACAAGAAUUGUAAAAAGAUGUACCUUUAUGUUCUGUCAUUGCCUAUUACAGUAAAUAAAUUUUUAUUAUUAUAUAUUUUCAAUGAAAAUCUAAAAAUUUAUUUAUUUUUUUUUAGCAUUUUAUACAAAAAAUAUUUCAUAUUUAUAAUAAUUUAAAUUUAAUAAUAAUUAUAAUUAAGUUGAAAAAAAAUAUUUGUAUUUUACAUUAAUAUUUAAAUAAAAUAUAUCAAUAUA
Molecule: long non-coding RNA, 435 nt
Organism: Apis cerana (Asiatic honeybee)
Lineage: Eukaryota; Metazoa; Arthropoda; Insecta; Hymenoptera; Apidae
Source: RefSeq, a predicted model, not a curated record